Non-coding RNA from Pogona vitticeps (central bearded dragon), 335 nucleotides. The record is from RefSeq and is a predicted model, not a curated record. Lineage: Eukaryota; Metazoa; Chordata; Lepidosauria; Squamata; Agamidae.
UUACCCCUUGUACCCUUUACUCUAUUCCUAGUUUAAAAUAGAAAGGAUAAUUUGAAAAAGGAAGCUGAACAGUUCCGGAGCGCCCCCAGAAGACGUGAAUGAAACAUCGCCAUGCGUGGCUGUCUUCGAAUAUUACCAUGUGCGAGAGAAGUGCUGUUUUUGUGAUAAAGGUCCAUGGCAGUGUUUUCAAGAGUUCAUUCUAUGAAGUGGUUAAUUCAAGGCAGAGGUGAGAAAUCAUAGUCUCUUCAGUGUCUUUCGACUAGAGCUCCCACAGCAAGCCUAACUGCAGACGAGCGGAGCUCUAUUUCAGUAUUUGGAGGGGGAAAGCUGUUCUA